Molecule: ribosomal RNA, 112 nt
Filed under: Pseudomonas thivervalensis
Lineage: Bacteria; Pseudomonadati; Pseudomonadota; Gammaproteobacteria; Pseudomonadales; Pseudomonadaceae
Source: RNAcentral
CUUGACGACCAUAGAGCAUUGGAACCACCUGAUCCCAUCCCGAACUCAGCAGUGAAACGAUGCAUCGCCGAUGGUAGUGGGGUUUCCCCAUGUGAAGUAGGUCAAUCGUCAG